AUUGAACGCUGGCGGCAGGCCUAACACAUGCGAGUCGAGCAGAUGAAGGGAGCUUGCUCCUGGAUUCAGCGGCGGACGGGUGAGUAAUGCCUAGGAAUCUGCCUGGUAGUGGGGGAUAACGUCCGGAAACGGGCGCUAAUACCGCAUACGUCCUGAGGGAGAAAGUGGGGGAUCUUCGGACCUCACGCUAUCAGAUGAGCCUAGGUCGGAUUAGCUAGUUGGUGGGGUAAAGGCCUACCAAGGCGACGAUCCGUAACUGGUCUGAGAGGAUGAUCAGUCACACUGGAACUGAGACACGGUCCAGACUCCUACGGGAGGCAGCAGUGGGGAAUAUUGGACAAUGGGCGAAAGCCUGAUCCAGCCAUGCCGCGUGUGUGAAGAAGGUCUUCGGAUUGUAAAGCACUUUAAGUUGGGAGGAAGGGCAGUAAGUUAAUACCUUGCUGUUUUGACGUUACCAACAGAAUAAGCACCGGCUAACUUCGUG
This 484-nucleotide ribosomal RNA is filed under the name uncultured bacterium. RNAcentral describes it as "partial 16S ribosomal RNA". It matches the Rfam family "Bacterial small subunit ribosomal RNA", at positions 30 to 507 of the family's 1533-position model. The record is from RNAcentral.